UGGGGAAUAUUGCACAAUGGGGGAAACCCUGAUGCAGCAACGCCGCGUGAGUGAAGAAGUAUUUCGGUAUGUAAAGCUCUAUCAGCAGGGAAGAAGAUGACGGUACCUGACUAAGAAGCCCCGGCUAACUACGUGCCAGCAGCCGCGGUAAUACGUAGGGGGCAAGCGUUAUCCGGAUUUACUGGGUGUAAAGGGAGCGUAGACGGCGGAGCAAGUCUGAAGUGAAAGCCCGGGGCUCAACCCCGGGACUGCUUUGGAAACUGUUCUGCUAGAGUGCUGGAGAGGUAAGUGGAAUUCCUAGUGUAGCGGUGAAAUGCGUAGAUAUUAGGAGGAACACCAGUGGCGAAGGCGGCUUACUGGACAGUAACUGACGUUGAGGCUCGAAAGCGUGGGGAGCAAACA
This 402-nucleotide ribosomal RNA is filed under the name uncultured bacterium. RNAcentral describes it as "bacterial SSU rRNA". It matches the Rfam family "Bacterial small subunit ribosomal RNA", at positions 355 to 774 of the family's 1533-position model. The record is from RNAcentral.